UUACCAGGGCUUGACAUACGUUGGAAGCGCAUCGAAAGGUGCGUGCCGCUUGCGGCCGGCGUACAGGUGCUGCAUGGCUGUCGUCAGCUCGUGCUGUGAAGUGUUCGGGUUAAGUCCCGCAACGAGCGCAACCCCUGCUGCCUGUUGCCACCACGAGAGGUGGGGACUCAGGCGGGACCGCCGGUGACAAACCGGAGGAAGGUGGGGACGACGUCAAGUCAUCAUGGCCCUUAUGUCCUGGGCUACACACGUGCUACAAUGGCCGGUACAGAGCGCAGCGAGGCCGCGAGGCGGAGCGAAUCGCUUAAAGCCGGUCCCAGUACGGAUUGGAGUCUGCAACCCGACUCCAUGAAGUUGGAAUCGCUAGUAAUCGCGCAAUCAGCAUGGCGCGGUGAAUACGUUCCCGGGCCUU
RNAcentral lists this ribosomal RNA (412 nucleotides) under uncultured Spirochaeta sp. RNAcentral describes it as "bacterial SSU rRNA". It matches the Rfam family "Bacterial small subunit ribosomal RNA", at positions 971 to 1382 of the family's 1533-position model. Lineage: Bacteria; Pseudomonadati; Spirochaetota; Spirochaetia; Spirochaetales; Spirochaetaceae. The record is from RNAcentral.